This is a long non-coding RNA of Pogona vitticeps (central bearded dragon), 497 nucleotides long. RefSeq lists it as uncharacterized. Lineage: Eukaryota; Metazoa; Chordata; Lepidosauria; Squamata; Agamidae. The record is from RefSeq and is a predicted model, not a curated record.
AGGUCUGAAAAAUUCUCCCAAAGGUGGUCUGGUCCAAUGUCCUCUUUCUUGAACCUUUGACUUCCUCGUGUACUGAGAUUGGAGCCAACGUUGAGCCAUGAAGGCUCUUUACCUUCUCCUGCUUGUUGUCUUCUUGGCUUUCCGGGUUGAGAGCAACCCAAAACCAACAACUCAGGCGGAUGUAAAGGUCCCUGAAGGUCCUGCUAUUCAAGCUGAUGAAGACGACCUUAAGGACGAACCAGCUCAAAAGUUUCGAGCAAUUCGGAGAUCUUGCUCUAAUGGGAGAGGGUAUUGCCUACCCCGGCAAUAUUUCUGUGCUCUCGGUUUAAUGUUCAAGGAGGAAUACAACGACUGCCCCCAAAGGGGGAGAAACAAAUGCUGCCUGGCAAGAAGAACUGGCUAAGAUGCUGAAAUCUUUGGGAAGAAUUGAUUCAGGAUUCUUCGAUUAACAAGAACAACCUGUUGUUCGACAUUUAAUAAAUUGUCUACUGAGUGCA